This 207-nucleotide long non-coding RNA is filed under the name Nicotiana benthamiana. RNAcentral describes it as "long non-coding RNA (NBEN_LNC032733)". The record is from RNAcentral. Lineage: Eukaryota; Viridiplantae; Streptophyta; Magnoliopsida; Solanales; Solanaceae.
AUACAGUGAAAUCAAUCCUUAUUCCGCACUCCCUCUCACCGGCCUGAAACAUAUAUAAAUCAUGAAUUCUUCAGAGCGGGCCGGCAGGCCGGGCGUACGGGGACCGUCGAAGAAGUGCCUCAACGCGCCGCAGCCACUACUUUGACUCCUUUUAUGCAAUUAUGAACUCCACGGAACUUUAUCAAUUCCAACGCAACUUAUCCUUUU